Molecule: non-coding RNA, 28 nt
Filed under: Mus musculus (house mouse)
Lineage: Eukaryota; Metazoa; Chordata; Mammalia; Rodentia; Muridae
Source: RNAcentral
UAAGGUAACGUGUAAAUAGCCAAUGGUC